This 492-nucleotide ribosomal RNA is filed under the name uncultured bacterium. RNAcentral's name for it is "partial 16S ribosomal RNA". It matches the Rfam family "Bacterial small subunit ribosomal RNA", at positions 29 to 507 of the family's 1533-position model. The record is from RNAcentral.
AGUGAACGCUGGCGGUAGGCCUAACACAUGCAAGUCGAACGGCAGCACAGUAAGAGCUUGCUCUUACGGGUGGCGAGUGGCGGACGGGUGAGGAAUACAUCGGAAUCUACUUUUUCGUGGGGGAUAACGUAGGGAAACUUACGCUAAUACCGCAUACGACCUACGGGUGAAAGCAGGGGAUCUUCGGACCUUGCGCGAUUGAAUGAGCCGAUGUCGGAUUAGCUAGUUGGCGGGGUAAAGGCCCACCAAGGCGACGAUCCGUAGCUGGUCUGCGAGGAUGAUCAGCCACACUGGAACUGAGACACGGUACAGACUCCUACGGGAGGAAGCAGUGGGGAAUAUUGGGCAAUGGGCGCAAGCCUGAUCCAGCCAUACCGCGUGAGUGAAGAAGGCCUUAGGGUUGUAAAGCCCUUUUGUUGGGAAAGAAAAGCAGCAGGUUAAUACCCCGCUGUUCUGACGGUACCCAAAGAAUAAGCACCGGCUAACUUCGUG